Molecule: long non-coding RNA, 1979 nt
Filed under: Pan troglodytes (chimpanzee)
Lineage: Eukaryota; Metazoa; Chordata; Mammalia; Primates; Hominidae
Description: long non-coding RNA NONPTRT001544
Source: RNAcentral
GCUCAGGUGGCCGCCACAGCCUCUUGCCCUCUGACCUGCAGGUAUCGGGAGAUCCAUAGCUAAGAAGCCUGGACACCCGGGAAGCUGGGAAAUGGCACAGACACCUUAUCGGAAUGUCUUUGGUUUGAGGUUCUGCUUUGGAAAUUGUACAAGGUCAUGUGUCCUCAGCCACCCUCCAGUCUUUUUCUGUGCCUGGGUUUCAUAAUUGUCCUGGGGUGACCCACCUCAAGGCAUGUUUAGUGAACAUUAGCACGUUGUUCCUUUCCUCCCAGAGGACAGCCUCAGUGAUGGAGGUGGAGCCUCUUAAGGGAGCAGAUGGAUGCCCUGGGGCUGAGAGGAAGCUGGUCCUACCCUUCAUUUACGAAGCUAACCCCUUAGGACAUGAAGAUUGUCUUCACCCAACUCCAGCGUCUGUUCCUUGGAGACCCAUUGCUGGUCAGCCAGUUGGAUGCUGAUAUUGAGAAGAAAAAACAGAAAUGAUUUCUGACAUCUGGAUUCUCUCAGACUUGUGAAGGGGGAAAAAGCUGUUCCAAAGGACAAGGAAAACCCACUGCAGUGAGGGGGCGCAAGAAUCUGCAAAGUCAAGCCACUUGGGGCACCCAGUGGGGCACAGUGUGGUGGCUCCUGGGCAAGGCGGGAAGGUGGUCAGUGAGCAGUAUGGAAACAGAGGAAUGUCCCAAGUGAUAGGACGGCCUGACUUGGCACUUGAGUCAGAUUUGUCUGUGUUCCAAUCAGCAUUGCCACUUCCUGGGUUUUACACCUUGAAAAAUUUUUUUCACUUAAUUCAACCUUAGUUUUUUAUUAACUGUCAAUUGCGUUUUAACAGUAGAGUUUCAAAGGUAAGAAAAUGUUUAAGAGGUGGAUUUCAGAAAAGACAUUACAUAUAUAGUCAAAUAUUCACUUGUUAAAAAUUCUGAUUUACCUUUUUCUUCACUAGAGUAUAGUAAGUUUGUCAGGCCUGUUCUUUUUUAGGGGGUGAUUUUAAACAGAAUCCCAGGGCUUAGCUGUGGGAAUGCUACCAGGGAAAGUAAUAGGGAAAAAUCCUCUUCCAGUAUGGCUAUAGGAAAUGAAUACAUUUCCACAAAAAAAGUAGUAGAUUAAUUGGUGAAUUACAUUGAUUCAUCAAAAUAUUAGUUCCUCUCUUUUGCAGGGUGGAGGACUUGUGGAGUUGAUAUCUCUGUUAUCUAGAUGUCUGAGUUUAAUACUGAAUUUUACAAGAUGGGACUUGGCAUCUCCUAGAUAUGUUCAUAUGUGAUUGUUUACUGAAUGAUUUGAAUUACGGAAAUAUUGUGACGUGUUUAUUGUCUGAAACUGAUAGAGAGUUUUGCUUUUUCUAUUGAGGUAUACAAUGUAAGUGCCUUAUAAUUUUAUUCUCUUAAAUAAACACUGUGUUUGAGUGAUUUUGCUGGAUUCUUCAAACACUGAGCAUUUUCUCAUUUACAACUAAGUGAAUAACCCUGACUGGGAAAUAGAAGUCGGAGCCCAGUGACUCUAAGCUAAGGCCAAUCUUGAGCCUGCAAAACAAGGUCAUUGAGGACCUGGUUAGUUCUUACUGGGGAGCCUCCUCUGCAGGUGUCCCAGCCUGCACACCCCAACAUGAACGGAGCACUUUAUACUGAGAGGAGCUAUAGAGCCCUAGAGAGCUGGGAUCCACAGGCAGAUGCUGUUGGGGUCGGAGUCUGGAGGCUCUUUCUGAGGAUGGAAUUGUUAUUGUUCUGGGGCUGUUUCUAGACUUUGUCAAAUAAAACAAAUUCACAUUUAGAUAAGAAGUUACUUACUUCAAAGGAGUAUUACAACAGAGGGAAAGCACCAACUAUAUCUUCCAGGAUCUCAAAGUUUAGGCAGACGAGGGCUUUCUUUCGUUUGGAGGAACAAACCAGAGUAGAAAGGUGAGAGUGAGAGGACAAGAUGCAGGGUGGCAAAUCAGAUCCUAGAUUAGAGAAAGUUUGACUCCCAAAUCAGCCUGUUCUUAGGAGGGG